Molecule: long non-coding RNA, 981 nt
Organism: Dermacentor andersoni
Lineage: Eukaryota; Metazoa; Arthropoda; Arachnida; Ixodida; Ixodidae
Source: RefSeq, a predicted model, not a curated record
UCGCAAUAAAACUCUUCCAAUUUGGUGCAGCGAGUGUUGCCGCCUGAAAGCCGAGUUUGGUUUCAAGCCAACCUGGACAACUGCUGUAUGAGGCGCUGUUUCUCAGGAGGAUCAGUGGGAAGGCGUCAGGUCAUGCAGAUGAUAGCAUCAAUUUCACUAUGCGCAGCCUUGGUGCCCUCCAUUAAGAGCAAGCCACUUGCGUUCGCCUUCAGGCAGAUGGUUGAUGUCUUCUAGGAAGCAGUUGGGAAGACUACAUUGAUGCAAGAUUCCAGCAAUGCCAUGCGCUGCAUUUAUUGGUCAAGAUGCUCAGAGAAUGGAGUCCCUGCACCUCGUGGUGAAACGUGAACAUUUUCUUUCUUUUGGAAAGCUAAACGUCAUUUGCAGUAUCAAUUGCAUUCUUGCAGCUCAGAUGUGUACUAUAUUUUUUCUAAUUUUGAAUCAAUUAAUAUUCACUGUUCAGUAUAAAAAUGACGUACAGUGUGAAGGACACGGACUGCGAGAGACGACAUACACUGCGCUGACUUCCAACAAUAUUUUGUUGCGUUGCCACAUCGUGUGUUUAUACACAAGAAGGGCCAUGCGCAGAAAAUGAAAGGCAGUCACAAGGGGUGUUUUAACAGCAAGUCAUUGUACUAAGAACAUGGUCACUAAAAAAAAUCACAAUUUCUAUCUGUGGAGAUACAAGACUUCACUAGGGGUCAGCGUGAUAGAGGGGGCACUAACGCACACACUACCCAUUUUUCUGGUGAAAUAAGCAUCAAUAAUGUACCGGGUGAGCUGUGUUUCGCUAGAACUUGCGUAUCUUCAUAGAGGGGCAUGCAGCGGCAGUCCCGGCAAUGAAUGCCCAAGUGGCCUUGAACCGUGUUAUGGAGGUUAUAGUGCACUCUUAAGCGAUCAUUUAGGCACCUGCCUGUCCGUCCAACAUAUUUACUGCCUCAAAACGGGAAUAUGGUAAACCACAUUCGUUACACAUAUCGCAAA